Molecule: ribosomal RNA, 483 nt
Filed under: uncultured bacterium
Lineage: Bacteria
Description: partial 16S ribosomal RNA
Rfam family: Bacterial small subunit ribosomal RNA
Source: RNAcentral
AUUGAACGCUAGCGGGAUGCUUUACACAUGCAAGUCGAACGGCAGCGCGGACUUCGGUCUGGCGGCGAGUGGCGAACGGGUGAGUAAUGUAUCGGAACGUGCCCAGUAGCGGGGGAUAACUACGCGAAAGCGUAGCUAAUACCGCAUCCGCCCUACGGGGGAAAGCAGGGGAUCGUAAGACCUUGCACUAUUGGAGCGGCCGAUCUCGGAUUAGCUAGUUGGUGAGGUAACGGCUCCCCAAGGCGACGAUCCGUAGCUGGUUUGAGAGGACGACCAGCCACACUGGGACUGAGACACGGCCCAGACUCCGACAGGAGGCAGCAGUGGGGAAUUUUGGACAAUGGGGGGAACCCUGAUCCAGCCAUCCCGCGUGUGCGAUGAAGGCCUGCGGGUUGUAAAGCAGUUUUGGCAGGAAAGAAACGUCGCGGGCUAAAACCCCGUGGAACGGACGGUACCGGCAGAAUAGGCACCGGCUAACUACUG